ACGGGAGGCAGCAGUCGGGAAUAUUGCGCAAUGGAGGAAACUCUGACGCAGUGACGCCGCGUAUAGGAAGAAGGUUUUAGGAUUGUAAACUAUUUUAGUCAGGGAAGAAAAAUGACGGUACCUGAAGAAUAAGCUCCGGCUAACUACGUGCCAGCAGCCGCGGUAAUACGUAGGGAGCAAGCGUUAUCCGGAAUUAUUGGGUGUAAAGGGUGCGUAGACGGGAAUUUAAGUUAGUUGUGAAAUCCCUCGGCUCAACUGAGGAACUGCAACUAAAACUGAAUUUCUUGAGUGCAGGAGAGGAAAGCGGAAUUCCUAGUGUAGCGGUGAAAUGCGUAGAUAUUAGGAGGAACACCAGUGGCGAAGGCGGCUUUCUGGACUGUAACUGACGUUGAGGCACGAAAGUGUGGGGAGCAAACAGGAUUAGAUACCCUGGUA
The sequence is a ribosomal RNA, 435 nucleotides long. It matches the Rfam family "Bacterial small subunit ribosomal RNA", at positions 341 to 792 of the family's 1533-position model.